RNAcentral lists this long non-coding RNA (469 nucleotides) under Bos taurus (domestic cattle). Its description in RNAcentral is "long non-coding RNA NONBTAT015612". Lineage: Eukaryota; Metazoa; Chordata; Mammalia; Artiodactyla; Bovidae. The record is from RNAcentral.
UAAGAGAUGAAGAGAUGAUUGGUCUUAUUUUGCAGAAACCAGAUUAUGCUGCAUGAGAACUAACAUUCCUCAGGAGCCAGAGUGAAUCAGUUAUUGAAUAAUUGCCUGGGAGCCUCCCAAGAUCUAAGUCUGGGAUCUCCCCAGCAGUUGAGGGAGAUUAAUAGAACUAUUAAUAAAAUCACACCAUGCUAAGGAAGGGGGCUAUUUGAGCCUCCAAGGAGUGGCUGGGACCUUGGAAGAUUAUAACUCAUGAUGUUCACCAGUUUCUUCCCCGGUUGCCCUGAGACUGGUGUAUGUCUCAUUCCAGGUUCACGCUGGUCUGGCGUUACUGACAAACUUUGGAAAGGGCUGACAUAGGUAAAAUGCUUUGUUUUAAAUAUGUAGCUGUUUUCUUGGUAUCUCUCCACAGGCUGGAAAAGGACUCAUUCUUUUGAGGUAAUCCGGAGCCAAAUGAACUGAAACUUUUUUC